This 574-nucleotide ribosomal RNA is filed under the name uncultured fungus. RNAcentral's name for it is "eukaryotic LSU rRNA". The stretch from base 133 to 284 matches the Rfam family "5.8S ribosomal RNA". Lineage: Eukaryota; Fungi. The record is from RNAcentral.
CUCAUCCACAACCCACACACCUGUGCACCAAAGGGCGGCGGGUGGAUAACGCACGCCGUCUCGCUUUAACAAGCUCAAAAGUCUUUUUGAAUGUCAUUUAUUCGGGCUAGCCCCGAUGUAACUUAAACAUAACACUUUCAACAACGGAUCUCUUGGCUCUCGCAUCGAUGAAGAACGCAGCGAAUGCGAUAAGUAAUGUGAAUUGCAGAAUUCAGUGAAUCAUCGAAUCUUGAACGCACCUUGCGCCCAUUGGUAUUCCGAUGGGCAUGCCUGUUUGAGUUCUUGAAAUCAUCAAGCCCGUUCGGUUUCACAGCCGAGCGUGGGUUGGAUUGGGGGCUUGCCGCUUCGCCGCGGCUCCCCUUAAAUGCAUCGGUUUCGGUCUCUGUGGGAGUAACCCCUUGGGCGUUGUAUAACCCUCGCUGUCUGGAACUCCACGCGACGUCCGCGUCGUUGAAGGGCCUUGAAGAAACCUCGACUGCUGUAGAGUGGCGGUCAUUGUUAAAUCGAAAUCUGACCUCUAAAUCGGGUAGGACUACCCGCUGAACUUAAGCUAUAUCAAUAAGCCGGGAAGGGA